This 497-nucleotide ribosomal RNA is filed under the name uncultured bacterium. RNAcentral's name for it is "partial 16S ribosomal RNA". It matches the Rfam family "Bacterial small subunit ribosomal RNA", at positions 28 to 507 of the family's 1533-position model. The record is from RNAcentral.
GAUGAACGCUGGCGGCGUGCCUAAUACAUGCAAGUCGAGCGAACAGACGAGGAGCUUGCUCCUCUGACGUUAGCGGCGGACGGGUGAGUAACACGUGGAUAACCUACCUAUAAGACUGGGAUAACUUCGGGAAACCGGAGCUAAUACCGGAUAAUAUAUUGAACCGCAUGGUUCAAUAGUGAAAGACGGCUUUGCUGUCACUUAUAGCUGGAUCCGCGCCGCAUUAGCUAGUUGGUAAGGUAACGGCUUACCAAGGCAACGAUGCGUAGCCGACCUGAGAGGGUGAUCGGCCACACUGGAACUGAGACACGGUCCAGACUCCUACGGGAGGCAGCAGUAGGGAAUCUUCCGCAAUGGGCGAAAGCCUGACGGAGCAACGCCGCGUGAGUGAUGAAGGUCUUCGGAUCGUAAAACUCUGUUAUUAGGGAAGAACAAAUGUGUAAGUAACUAUGCACGUCUUGACGGUACCUAAACAGAAAGCCACGGCUAACUACGUG